Molecule: non-coding RNA, 125 nt
Filed under: unclassified sequences
Source: RNAcentral
CCCCUUCAUGGAUCACUGCCUUGUUGUGGUGGAUGGGCUUGCAUAACUCAAUGAAUCUAUAAGCCAUGCCAGGCAGGUUACCCAAGACAGAUGGGUCAUAGCAGAGAGUUCUGACAAAAUGUGAU